GCGGCUUAUUUGACUCAACACGGGGAAGCUUACCAGGGCAAGACAUGGCUAGGAACGACAGCUUAAGAGCGCUUUCGUGAUUCCAUGAGUGGUGGUGCAUGGUCCGUUGCAUGUUCGUGGAGCGAUUUGUCUGGUUAAUUCCGUUAACGAACGAGACUUUGGCCCUCAAAAUAGAGACGCCCACUUUGCUGCUGGGCGUGCUCCUCUUGAGGGGACUGAUCGCGGUAAGCGAUAGGAAGUGCAAAGCCAUAACAGGUCUGUGAUGCCCUUAGAUGUUCUGGGCUGCACGCGUGCUACAAUGGCGGAGACAGCAAGUUGGUGCGCCGAGAGGCGCGUCAAAGCGUGAAUCUCCGCCGUGCUUGGGAUAGGCCAUUGGAAUUUGGCCUUGAACGAGGAAUUUUUAGUAAGUGCGCUUCAUCACAGUGCGCUGGCUACGUCCCUUGUUUUUGUACACACCGCCCGUCGCUAUUUCCGAUUGGAUGGCUUAGUGAGGUGCUUGGAUGGCCUCUCUUGGGAGGAUAGAAAAGCAACAAACUUGGUCAUCUAGAGGAAAUAAAAGUCGUAACAAGGUACUCGUAUGUGAACCUGCGUGUGGAUCAUUAAUGGUGUUCUGGUGGUGCGGCCGCCGCAAGGCAGCAGCCCGCCGGGGUAUUUUGUGAAUUUUCUGGGUCUUGCGCUCUGUGUGUGUGUUGGCGACGCUGUGGACGUGCAUUGGCUGGUCUGUUUGCGUGUGUGUGUGGGUGUGUGUAGUCUCGGCUGGCCCGAUCUGUGGCAGAAGCGAUUUCGUGACAGAUCAGAUCGGCCGGACAGCAACCCCAUUCAUCAUGUAUGCAUGCCAGCCAGCAUCCCCAGAUACCCCAAUCCAUGCCCAUGCAAGUGGCAUGGCCCAGAACUAUAGAUGCUUUAAACAACUACAAACUGUACACAACUGGCGGCAAGGGAUCAUUUGGCUCUCGUAACUAUAAAGAACGCAGCGAGAUGCAAAACGUGGCGCGAUACGCAAAACCUGCGAGACGUCGAGUUUUUGAACGCAACAUGCCCCCGCAGAACAAUCCACAAGCAUGUCUGUCUGGGUGUUUGACCCNNNNNNNNNNNNNNNNNNNNNNNNNNNNNNNNNNNNNNNNNNNNNNNNNNNNNNNNNNNNNNNNNNNNNNNNNNNNNNNNNNNNNNNNNNNNNNNNNNNNAUCACUCUUCCGGGCAACUGGCCGUGUUCUGAUGGGCCGUUUGCGCAAGCGACGGCCUUGGGGCGCGCCGUGUCCGGACGUGUCUUGCCUGCUUGCAGGCGUGUGUGCGCUGCCUCGCCGCAGCGUCAAUCUCUGAGUGUCUGCUGUGAAUGAAGAUGUGAUCGAACUGUGCGGCUGGGCGUUUGCGUCUGGCCGCCUGUUCGUCUCCAACUACUCUACUCUACAUGCAAGCCGCUUUGCAAGCGUCCAUGGAUGCGCGCACAUUUGCAGACUAGGGGGCCGUUUGGCUCAACUGUCCGUCCCUUUCAUGACCUGUCAUGACUGCGCGCGGGCGGCCGGGCCAGACAGACGACCUUGCUUGGUCUGCACUCAAACGACAAACCUCAGAUCAGACAAGACUACCCGCUGAACUUAAGCAUAUCAGUAAGCGGAGGAGAAGAAACUAACAAGGAUUCCCCCAGUAACUGCGAGUGAAGCGGGAAGAGCCCAAACUUGUAAUCUGUGCCCACCGGGCACCGAGUUGUAGUUUGGAGCCUGGUUGUGCACGCAAGCCGCCUGUCCUAACUACCGUGGAAACGGAGGCCAAGGAGGGUGACAGCCCCGUGUGGGCAGGCGGCAACACGUCCACGCCGGGCCAAGAGUCGGGCUGUUUGGGAUUGCAGUCCAAAGCGGGUGGUAAACUCCAUCUAAGGCUAAAUACCGACGAGAGACCGAUAGCGAACAAGUACCGUGAGGGAAAGAUGAAAAGAACUUUGAAAAAAGAGUCAAAAGUACGUGAAAUUGCCGGCAGGGAAGCGAUUGGGACGGCAGAGCCGAGCGUGCAUUCGGCAACGUGGCGGGCCAACUAGUUGGCCUUCAGGUUGCGGGGUUUUGCGCUCGGACAGUUGCAGCGCUUUGGCGCGUCGCCAUCUUUUGGCCGGCUUCGGCGGAGCGCCC
This 2120-nucleotide ribosomal RNA is filed under the name uncultured fungus. RNAcentral describes it as "bacterial SSU rRNA". The stretch from base 1 to 602 matches the Rfam family "Eukaryotic small subunit ribosomal RNA", at positions 1185 to 1831 of the family's 1831-position model. Lineage: Eukaryota; Fungi. The record is from RNAcentral.